Molecule: ribosomal RNA, 728 nt
Filed under: uncultured bacterium
Lineage: Bacteria
Description: bacterial SSU rRNA
Rfam family: Bacterial small subunit ribosomal RNA
Source: RNAcentral
UCGAAGCGCGAAUCCGGUCUUCGGACCGGUAGUAGAAGCGGCGAACGGGUGAAGUAACACGUGAGUAACCUGCCCCUGGAUCCGGGAUAGCCCCGGGAAACCGGGAUUAAUACCGGAUGCGGCCUUUCCCCUGCAUGGGGGAUCGGUCAAAGGGUUAAGUACCGUCCGGGGAUGGGCUCGCGGCCCAUUAGCUUGUCGGUGAGGUAACGGCUCACCGAGGCUGAGACGGGUAGCUGGUCUGAGAGGAUGAUCAGUCACACUGGCACUGAGACACUGGCCAGACUCCUACGGGAGGCUGCAGUCGAGAAUCUUCGGCAAUGGGCGCAAGCCUGACCGAGCGAUGCCGCGUGGGUGAAGAAGGCCUUCGGGUCGUAAAGCCCUGUCACCCGGGACGAAGCCUGGCGGUACCGGGAGAGGAAGCCACGGCUAACUACGUGCCAGCAGCCGCGGUAACACGUAGGUGGCGAGCGUUAUUCGGAAUUACUGGGCGUAAAGGGUCCGCAGGGGGUCUGCCAAGUCUGCUGUGAAAGCCCGCGGCUCAACCGCGGAAGUGCAGUGGAAACUGGCGAACUGGAGUGCACGAGAGGAGAGCGGAAUUCCCGGUGUAGCGGUGGAAUGCGUAGAUAUCGGGAAGAACAUCGACGGCGAAAGCAGCUCUCUGGCGUGUCACUGACCCUCAGGGACGAAAGCGUGGGCAGCGAACAGGAUUAGAUACCCUGGUAGUCCAC